GUCAGACAGAAUAAUGUGACCCAGCACCCAAAACAGCAAGAUGCAUCAGCGGUCAGGAAUGUUUGGCUGGUUAAAGGAAAUAUUAACAUUUCUGGUGCUACGUGGACGUUGGCUUUAUGGUCUCUACUCAACCAAAUACCAACCUCACAGCUUUCAAAGAGCAGCAAGUAGACAAGAUGAAGAUUGAUUAUGAUUGCAAGUCCAAAUUAUUGCUGGAUGGAGGCCGGAUUCCCCUCUGCUGGCUCCACUGGGCUCCGCUGAUCAUCCACGACGCCGACCCGUCAACCUGCCUGCUGGUUGUGCUAUUCUGUCACGCUCUGCUUUGGACUGGAAGGAGUGCAGAAAUAAAAAAUGAGGACACUGCCAUCCUCAGUACCCCAAGCUGCGAGAAAACGAUUGAUACAUUAAUAGCAAAGCUAUACUCUGAAAUGGAGGAACAAAUAUAUUAAUACCAAAGGUAUACUCUUAGAUGCAGGAACUGAUAUACUAAUACCUAAGAUAUACUCUGAAAUAUAUACUGUAUUAAUGCUUCAUCAAAAAUAUUAUUAAAUCAGUGCUCUUCUCUUGUCUGUGGCACUGAUAAAUCACUGUCUUUGAAGAGCGGCAAAGAGCAGUAGCACUGUUUUAUAAACUAACAACAGCCAUUUACCAAAACACUGGCUCACCCCUCUGUCUGUGAAAAUCUGAAUUCAUGAACGUUGAAUUCAAUCCCGUAGAUAAGUGGCAGGCAGUUAUGGCCGUUGGCUUGGGGCGCGCUUUUUGCUACCAUGUAUUUGUAAUAACAUUUCCUAUUGUUUUGGAAUCCCCACA
Paramormyrops kingsleyae is the source of this 810-nucleotide long non-coding RNA. RefSeq lists it as uncharacterized. The record is from RefSeq and is a predicted model, not a curated record. Lineage: Eukaryota; Metazoa; Chordata; Actinopteri; Osteoglossiformes; Mormyridae.